GGAGGAUCCAGUUUUUGACACCCACUUUUUCUUGCCUGUUUUUUCUGGACAGAAAGAAAACCCUCCAUUUAAAUAGAAUGCAGAAAGUGACUGUUAAAUUGUAAAAUUAACGGAACCUACAGAUGGAAACAUGUGUAAAAAAGAAAAAACCUCAUGUAAUCUAUAAAUAAAGUAAUUCAACAUCUUGUAGCAGCCUCGUAGAGAUCGUUCCACAGCAGUUAAGGAUGACCAAAGGUGAACAGUUCUAGUUUUCAACAUGAACACAGACAUGUCACACAGAGAUUAAUCUAAACAAGUACAAUUUGAUUAAAAAGAAUUUGUGCUCAUAUACAUGUACGUUGUACAAUUUGUACCUGUAUAGUGGAAAAUUACAUGUGCAAUUUAUUAAGAACAGAAGACCAACAUAAAAGGGCUAAAUGUUAUAGAUAUCUGUAAAUUUACAUUAUGUUCAUAAGAACAGCAGUAUCAACAUUUGAACAGUAACAUCAUCUAUUAAUUUUU
This 501-nucleotide long non-coding RNA is filed under the name Mytilus galloprovincialis (Mediterranean mussel). The record is from RNAcentral. Lineage: Eukaryota; Metazoa; Mollusca; Bivalvia; Mytilida; Mytilidae.